CUUGGCUUAGGCUAACGCAGCUAGCGGUGCAUGAGGCUAGUUAAGCUAAUUACGGAUACAGUUUUCAUGAGUUAGUUUAUAAUAUAACUUUCUUGCCAUGGUAGAAGUUACUGAACGUGUCUUUCACUGGAUUGUGUAGAUUUAGCCUUGCCCAACUUGGCAACCCGAUGUAGCUUCGUGGCUGGGGAGGGGUGGGCAGUGCAGACUACUCUCCGUGGUGUUUUGAAAUUGGACGCUCCAGCUAUUUCACACCUCGCUCUCUUUUCCUACAGAAUGUAACGUUACCUUUAACUUAGACGCAAGCCACCUAAACAACAAUGAAGCAGCAGGCAGCACACAUGCAGCUCGGUGGUCUCUCUGCCCUCAUUCCGUGCACGUUGCUGUCGGUGCUCAGCAUCAGUCAGCACACCACAGAGUGAAAUGGAGCCAGGAAAGCCUCCCACGUGGAACUGACCGCAGGAGCGGGACUGAAGCAACGGCCGCCAGUCAAAGGGUUAUCACCCCCUAACGUGCGCCUCUGGUGUUCUGGUUCUGCUGCCGCCGUUGGAUCGGCGUGUCUGCACGCUUACGCUGCUGUCUUUCCUGCCAUUGAUUAGGGGUAUCAAGCCCCAUCUGUGUCCGCUGGCGGCCGCCUCGGAGGAGCACUGACACUGACACUGUGCGUGUGUAAUUAGACAUCAGCUCGGGGAUGCUCAGCGAGCGCCGCGUGACUGAGAGAAGUGGCCCUGAGGCGCACGAGCAAGGUGGCGCUAAGAAGCUAAUUAUCAGUUUCCUGACAGUGAGUUGAACAUCUUUCUCUCUUUCGGUCUCUGUACAUGGAUUCACGCCAGUUCACUUCUUAUAAACUCAUUCAGUAAAUCUAAUUUACUCAGGCUACGCUUAGGGCAAGGCAAAAUUUACGUUUCAAUCACUGAAAUCUGCGGAUAAAAGGUCUGGGAAGUAAAUGUUAUGAAAAGGUGUUUUAGUAUACACUGCCAGGCAAAAAAAAAAAGUCACUUGGAUUUAAAUGAUGUGGGGUUGAUGCUGGAGUUGGUCAGGUUUAGGUUCAGCAACAGUAUGUGCUGAAAGAAUGAGGUCAGCUGACUACCUGAAUAUACUGAAUAUAGACCAGGCUAUUCCAUCAAUGGAUUUUUUCUUCCCUGAUGUCACGAGCAUAUUUCAAGAUGAUAAUGCCAGAAUUCAUGGGGCUGGAAUUGU
Molecule: long non-coding RNA, 1197 nt
Filed under: Astyanax mexicanus (Mexican tetra)
Lineage: Eukaryota; Metazoa; Chordata; Actinopteri; Characiformes; Acestrorhamphidae
Description: lncRNA (ENSAMXG00005020332.1)
Source: RNAcentral